GCCUCCGUGUUGUAAUGGUUAGCACACUCGGCGCAUAUUCGAGAGUUCCAGGUUCGAAUCCCGGCGACGGCA
This 72-nucleotide transfer RNA is filed under the name Stegodyphus mimosarum. It matches the Rfam family "tRNA". From Rfam's summary of the family: Transfer RNA (tRNA) molecules are approximately 80 nucleotides in length. Lineage: Eukaryota; Metazoa; Arthropoda; Arachnida; Araneae; Eresidae. The record is from Rfam by way of RNAcentral.